CCUACGGGAGGCAGCAGUGGGGAAUAUUGCGCAAUGGGCGAAAGCCUGACGCAGCGACGCCGCGUGAGGGAUGAAGGUCUUCGGAUCGGAAACCUCUGUCAGCAGGGAAGAACGGUCACGGGGCUAAUCAGCAGUGAAUUGACGGUACCUGCAAAGGAAGCACCGGCUAACUCCGUGCCAGCAGCCGCGGGAAUACGGAGGGUGCGAGCGUUAAUCGGAAUUACUGGGCGUAAAGCGCUCGUCGGCGGUAUGUCAAGUCAAGGGUGAAAUCCCCGCGCUCAUCGUUGGAACUGCCUUUGAAACUGGCAACCUGGUGUGUGUGAGAGGAUAGUUGCAUUCCAGUUGUAGGCGU
This 352-nucleotide ribosomal RNA is filed under the name uncultured bacterium. Its description in RNAcentral is "partial 16S ribosomal RNA". It matches the Rfam family "Bacterial small subunit ribosomal RNA", at positions 338 to 682 of the family's 1533-position model. The record is from RNAcentral.